GACGAACGCUGGCGGCGUGCUUAACACAUGCAAGUCGAACGGAAAGGCCCUGCUUUUGUGGGGUGCUCGAGUGGCGAACGGGUGAGUAACACGUGAGUAACCUGCCCUUGACUUUGGGAUAACUUCAGGAAACUGGGGCUAAUACCGGAUAGGAGCUCCUGCUGCAUGGUGGGGGUUGGAAAGUCUCGGCGGGUGGGGAUGGACUGGCGGCUUAUCAGCUUGUUGGUGGGGUAGUGGCUUACCAAGCCUUGGACGGGUAGCCGGCCUGGGAGGGUGACCGGCCACCAUGGGACUGAGAGACGGCGCAGACUCCUACGGGAGGCAGCGGUGGGGAGUAUUGCACAAUGGGCGGGAGCCUGAUGCAGCGACGCCGCGUGCGGGAUGACGGCCUGCGGGUUGUAAACCGCUUUCGCCUGUGACGAAGCGGGAGUGACGGUAAUGGGUAAAGAAGCACCGGCUAACUACGUG
RNAcentral lists this ribosomal RNA (468 nucleotides) under uncultured bacterium. RNAcentral's name for it is "partial 16S ribosomal RNA". It matches the Rfam family "Bacterial small subunit ribosomal RNA", at positions 28 to 507 of the family's 1533-position model. The record is from RNAcentral.